CACACACACACGCGCACACACACACACACACACACACACAUAUCCCGUUAUUGUUCUUCAGAAACACACUCGUCUGGCUUGUUGACCUUUGACCCCUGUGUGAGUAAGAGGAGCCCAGAAUGGUGCCAAUAAACGAGGACGUGCCAUUUUGGGUGGUGCUAAGCAGUGUGUGUACACUGUGUGUUCUCGUCGCCUCCACAAUCUGGUCCUGCUGGAAGAUCAGAAGAGCCAUGAGGACAGAAACACAGGACACGUACACGCUGUACACAGAGAAGACGGCGGACGAGCAGCUGGAGGAGAUAACACAUGAAGAGGAGAAGGAAGAAGAAGAAGAAGAAGAAGAAGGAGGAGAAGAAGAAGGAGACGAGGAAGAAGAAGAAGAAGAAAGCUAAAGAAACAGACAGCUCGACUGUGUUAUUAUUAUUAUUAUUAUUAUUAUUAUUAAAGCACAUUACAGUUUAAAAUGUUUUAUAAAUAUUUUUGAUAUCCACGCAGUGACUGUGACAUGACACACGACAGAAUGAAAAAGAAAGAAAUAAUUGUACAGAUUAUUGUGUAGAAUCAAAAGAAAAUAAAAAUUUAUAAAAUCA
Clarias gariepinus (North African catfish) is the source of this 590-nucleotide long non-coding RNA. RefSeq lists it as uncharacterized. The record is from RefSeq and is a predicted model, not a curated record. The transcript is spliced from 4 exons. Lineage: Eukaryota; Metazoa; Chordata; Actinopteri; Siluriformes; Clariidae.